CAAUAGCGUAUACUAAUGUUGUUGCAGUUAAAAAGCUCGUAGUUGAACUUCUGGUAGGAGUGUCCCGGCCUUUUUGUUUUUACAAAUUGUAUGCUGUGUGACAUCUCUGGCCAUCCUUCUUCUUUGUUUAAAGAAGAUCUUUCACUGUAAAAAAAUUAGGGUGUUCAAAGCAAAAGUUUCUUUGGAAUAUAUUAGUAUGGGAUGAUAAGAUAGGCUCUAGAUGCUAUUUUGUUGGUCUGCACAUUUAGAGAAUGAUUAACAGGGACAGUUGGGGGUAUUCGUAUUUACAUGUCAGAGGUGAAAUUCUUGGAUUUUGGAAAGACGAACUACUGCGAAAGCAUUUACCAAGGAUGUUUUCAUUAA
This 363-nucleotide ribosomal RNA is filed under the name uncultured eukaryote. RNAcentral describes it as "partial 18S ribosomal RNA". It matches the Rfam family "Eukaryotic small subunit ribosomal RNA", at positions 592 to 976 of the family's 1831-position model. The record is from RNAcentral.